RNAcentral lists this ribosomal RNA (453 nucleotides) under Pichia kudriavzevii. RNAcentral's name for it is "eukaryotic LSU rRNA". The stretch from base 89 to 241 matches the Rfam family "5.8S ribosomal RNA". Lineage: Eukaryota; Fungi; Ascomycota; Pichiomycetes; Pichiales; Pichiaceae. The record is from RNAcentral.
CUCACUGCGUGAGCGGACGAAAACAACAACACCUAAAAUGUGGAAUAUAGCAUAUAGUCGACAAGAGAAAUCUACGAAAAACAAACAAAACUUUCAACAACGGAUCUCUUGGUUCUCGCAUCGAUGAAGAGCGCAGCGAAAUGCGAUACCUAGUGUGAAUUGCAGCCAUCGUGAAUCAUCGAGUUCUUGAACGCACAUUGCGCCCCUCGGCAUUCCGGGGGGCAUGCCUGUUUGAGCGUCGUUUCCAUCUUGCGCGUGCGCAGAGUUGGGGGAGCGGAGCGGACGACGUGUAAAGAGCGUCGGAGCUGCGACUCGCCUGAAAGGGAGCGAAGCUGGCCGAGCGAACUAGACUUUUUUUCAGGGACGCUUGGCGGCCGAGAGCGAGUGUUGCGAGACAACAAAAAGCUCGACCUCAAAUCAGGUAGGAAUACCCGCUGAACUUAAGCAUAUCAU